AGAGUUUGAUCCUGGCUCAGGAUGAACGCUGGCGGCGUGCUUAACACAUGCAAGUCGAGCGGAAAUAUUUUAAAUGAAGGCUUCGGUUGGUUUAGCGGCGGACGGGUGAGUAACGUGUGGGUAACCUGCCUUCUACUGGGGAAUAAUCAUUUGAAAAGAUGACUAAUACCGCAUGUCGUCACUAAGGGGCAUCUCUUGGUGAAAAAAGGAGUAAUCCGGUAUAUGAUGGACCCGCAUCUGAUUAGCUAGUAGGUGGGGUAAUGGCCUACCUAGGCGACGAUGGUUAGGGGACCUGAGAGGGUGAUCCGCCACACUGGCACUGGAACACGGGCCAGACUCCUACGGGAGGCAGCAGUGAGGAAUAUUGCACAAUGGGGGAAACCCUGACGCAGCGACGCCGCGUGAGUGAGGAAGGCCUUCGGGUCGUAAAGCUCUGUCAAGAGGAAAGAAGUGUACAAUGGCUAAUUACCUUUUGUGUUUGACGGUACCUCUUAAGGAAGCACCGGCUAACUCCGUGCCAGCAGCCGCGGUAAUACGGAGGGUGCAAGCGUUAUUCGGAAUCACUGGGCGUAAAGGGCGCGUAGGCGGUUUGGAAAGUUGGAUGUGAAAGCUCCUGGCUUAACUGGGGAGGUCGUUCAAAACUACCAGACUAGAGAAUGGGAGAGGGAAGUGGAAUUCCCGGGGUGUAGU
Molecule: ribosomal RNA, 690 nt
Filed under: uncultured delta proteobacterium
Lineage: Bacteria; Deltaproteobacteria
Description: bacterial SSU rRNA
Rfam family: Bacterial small subunit ribosomal RNA
Source: RNAcentral